Long non-coding RNA from Mobula hypostoma (lesser devil ray), 2423 nucleotides. RefSeq lists it as uncharacterized. NCBI's taxonomy places the organism in Eukaryota, Metazoa, Chordata, Chondrichthyes, Myliobatiformes, Myliobatidae. The record is from RefSeq and is a predicted model, not a curated record. The transcript has 4 exons.
GUCUAUAGAGCAACGGCUGCCCACACCCCUCUCCUCGUCCAGCAGCAGGCACAUCUCCUUCAGCUCCAAGUUCUCUCUCACCACCUCGUCUUGCCUGGCCUCCAGCUCCUUCAUUUUCUGCAGGUACAAGGUGGUCACUCAGGAUCAAGGGUGACUUGCUUCUCGUUCUUGUGUUAUAAGGUGACCAAUGAGACAUGAGCAGACUCUUCCACAGAUGAUAAAAUGGGCCAAUGGCAAUUUGUCAUAAGAUCAUCCAAGUGGGAUGUCAUGUCUGAUAAAUUUGUUUUUGGAUUUGUCAUUUGCUGCAAAGGAUCCAUUCCUUGAAGCAAAUACCAGUGCUGUCCCAUGUGCCCAAGGUGAUGUGGCAUCCAGAUGGUGGAUGGAUCUCCAACCAAGUUGGAUUGUCUCAGCCAGUCACGAUCCCGCAGUGCUGGCCCUCCUGUUUUCAAUCCUGAUGUGGCUUGUUCGUUGUUGUACUUCACAGUUGCUGUCACUCUAGUCAUAAUCAGAUUGCUCAUCAACAGCAUGCAGAUUAGCGCUCAUUUUGAAACUGCAACUUCACUUUUUAUCUCAUUUUCUUCCCUGUGCAGAAUGUCUUUGAAACAUCUCACUGCACUUCAACAGGUAGGUAGUUGAGUCAGGUUCAUUUUAAAACUUACUCAGUACCACUGUUACAUUUUGAAACUCCAAAAGUAAUUGAAAGAUAAAUACAGGACCGCGGAUAAAUAUGUACUCUUCAUUUUUUUUUACUUUUAGUGAGACGUACAUUAUGACGUGGUGGCAUGAUGACAUAUGCCAUUCAGGUACUUUUCCUCAUAACCCUUAAUGAAUUAUGUAAGCAAACAAAAAGUCCUUAAUCAAAAAAUGUAUUUACAACGUUACUCAAAUAUUACUGAAAUAUUAAACGCACAACAUUAACCAUAAAUAGUGCUAGCGGGUAGGCCUGAGGAAAAGACUAUUAAGCAGUCUGUGGCAAGGAAAUUGCUGACUAAAUAACUUAUGUGAUUCCUUUAGAAGUCAGGAACGAGGCAUACAACUGAUGCUUUACAAUCAUUUUAUUAUGAGUUGAUAGAACAAAGGGAAGUUGAAAUAAAUAAGGACAGAGAUCUACUACUUGAAGAAGAGAGAAACUAAUGAUGACACUUUGUAUAAAAUGGCUACCUUUAUACUUCUGAAAUUAGUAACAAUUCAAUUCAAAUCUAGAUUAAAAAUGAACUAAAUAGAAAAUAUUUACUCAAUACCGCAAUAAAAAAUAACCAAUGAGAAACUACUUAUUCACACAAAUCAGAACAAAGAAUCUUCCAGAAUUAUAAUUUGUAUAACCUCUAAAGGCAUAUUAAACUGUUAUGUACAUACUAUAGCCACUAGAAACCAUAGUAAACAGUUACAAGUAAUUAUGUAAAAUAAAUAAAUGCAGAUAAUACUGGAUAAUAACAAUUUUGCUUCCUGAAUACUUUUGGGUGUAUCUUACUGAUUUUGGGCUACUGAUCAAUAUUUGUUAUUUCAAUUCAUAAUUCAAGUCAAUUAAAAUAUUGCCCACAAUGUAAGCUGAAAGGUUUUCUAUCGUGUCCAGGCAUUCCUGGGCAGGCUUAGGCAGGGUGGAUGCUGCAUGACAGGACAGGUUUUAGAAAAACAGGACAUGGAGGCAGAACAAGAUGACAAGGUGUACAAGCCAAGAAUAGAGAAAGACACUGAUAUUGAUACAGAUUUUGAACCUUUUAUGCUGAGUGAGCCUCAUCUGAUAAUUCAAUCUGAGUGAAAUAACCUGGUUAGAGACUUGGGUUUGUCAAAGUCAAAGACAGAAUUAUUGGGUUCAAGACUGCAAGGGUGGAAUCUGGUGUCAUCAGGCAUAACAAUUUCUGUGAAGGAUUUCAGUAUUUGAGACAGAUGUUUUCCAAAAUUACUGCAGCCAAGACUAAGGAAGGCAUUUUUGUAGGUCCACAAGCCAAAUAAGUCAUCAAUGACAGGCAAUUCAAAGAACUUAUAGUGGGACUGGAGAAAAUCACGUGGAAGGCAUUCAAGGAUGUUGUGAAAAUAUUCUUGGCAAAUACAGAGCUCCAAACUACAUGCAGCUGGUUGACAACAUGUUUCAAGCAUACAAAACCAUGAAGUGCAAUAUGUCAUUAAAGAUUCAUUUUCUGAAUUCCCAUUUAGGCUUCCUCCCUGCAAAUCUUCACGCUGUCAGUGACGAGCAUGGUGAAAGGUUUCACCAGGACAUUGUGGUCAUAUAGAAACAGUAUCAGGGCAACUGGAAUCCAUCAAUGCUGGCUGAUUAUUGUUGGACAAUUAAGUGAGAAGCCUCAGACACUGAGCACAAAUGAAAAUCAUCAACAAAACAUUUUCAGCUUAGUUGAACUAUUGCAAAUUAAACAUAUUAUGCAAUUAAACAUAUUAUAUUCAAUAAAAGUUAUAUUCUUGUUGCU